UUGGGAUUUUGGUUUAUUUUUUUUUUCAUGUAUGGUUUAGUUGUUUUAAAGAAUAGGAAUUUGGCAGUGGUUAAAUUUAUUAAUUUAGUAAUUUAAGAUUUAGAAAUUGAUUUUAAUUUUAAUGAAAUUUGUGCCAGCAAUUGCGGUUAUACAAAUAAUGUGAUUAAAAGUUUUUGGUUAAAUAAUUAGUUAUUGGAAUAGUUGGUUAGUGAGAUAUUGAAUUUAUUGGGUGAAAUUUUUAAAUUUGAUUAAGCUAAAUUAAUUUUUACGAGGUUGUGAAAAUUUUAAAUUAAACUAGGAUUAGAUACCCUAUUAUUAGAAUUGUAAAUUAAUAUACCUGAUUAUUAGUAGAUUAUUUUCUUGAAAAUUAAAGAUUUUGGCGGUAUUUUAGUCUAUUCAGAGGAACCUGUCCUGUAAUUGAUAGUCCACGAUUAACUUUACUUUUCUUAUUAGUUUGUAUAUCAUCGUGAUUGAAUAUUUUAGGAAAAUUUUAAUAUUCAAUAAGUAUAAUUAUAAUUAAUGUCAGAUCAAGGUGCAGUUUAUGGGAAAGAAGAGAUGGGUUACAAUAAAUUUAUUUAUGGUUUAAGUAAGGAAUAAUUAUUUAUUAAAUUGGAUUUGAUUGUAAUAUUUUCUAGUUAGUAGAUGUGAUUUUGGCUCUAAAAUAUGUACAUAUUGCCCGUCGCUCUCAUUUAAGGUGAGAUAAGUCGUAACAUAGUAGAUGUACUGGAAAGUGUAUCUAGAAAGA
Molecule: non-coding RNA, 745 nt
Filed under: Sternocampsus coriaceus
Lineage: Eukaryota; Metazoa; Arthropoda; Insecta; Coleoptera; Elateridae
Source: RNAcentral